GUCUCUGUGGCGCAAUUGGUUAGCGCGUUGGGCUGUUAACCGAAAGGUUGCUGGUUCAAGCCCAGCCAGGGACG
This is a non-coding RNA of Ciona savignyi (Pacific transparent sea squirt), 74 nucleotides long. The record is from Rfam. NCBI's taxonomy places the organism in Eukaryota, Metazoa, Chordata, Ascidiacea, Phlebobranchia, Cionidae.